UAGAGUUUGAUCCUGGCUCAGGAUGAACGCUGGCGGCGUGCCUAAUACAUGCAAGUCGAGCGAACAGACGAGGAGCUUGCUCCUCUGACGUUAGCGGCGGACGGGUGAGUAACACGUGGAUAACCUACCUAUAAGACUGGGAUAACUUCGGGAAACCGGAGCUAAUACCGGAUAAUAUAUUGAACCGCAUGGUUCAAUAGUGAAAGACGGUUUUGCUGUCACUUAUAGAUGGAUCCGCGCCGCAUUAGCUAGUUGGUAAGGUAACGGCUUACCAAGGCAACGAUGCGUAGCCGACCUGAGAGGGUGAUCGGCCACACUGGAACUGAGACACGGUCCAGACUCCUACGGGAGGCAGCAGUAGGGAAUCUUCCGCAAUGGGCGAAAGCCUGACGGAGCAACGCCGCGUGAGUGAUGAAGGUCUUCGGAUCGUAAAACUCUGUUAUUAGGGAAGAACAAAUGUGUAAGUAACUAUGCACGUCUUGACGGUACCUAAUCAGAAAGCCACGGCUAACUACGUGCCAGCAGCCGCGGUGAUACGUAGGGUGCGAGCGUUGUCCGGAUUUAUUGGGCGUAAAGGGCUCGUAGGUGGUUGAUCGCGUCGGAAGUGUAAUCUUGGGGCUUAACCCUGAGCGUGCUUUCGAUACGGGUUGACUUGAGGANGGUAGGGGAGAAUGGAUUUCCUGGUGAGCGGUGGAAUGCGCAGAUAUCAGGAGGAACACCAGUGGCGAAGGCGGUUCUCUGGGCCUUUCCUGACGCUGAGGAGCGAAAGCGUGGGGAGCGAACAGGCUUAGAUACCCUGGUAGUCCACGCUGUAAACGGUGGGUACUAGGUGUGGGGUCCAUUCCACGGGUUCCGCGCCGUAGCUAACGCUUUAAGUACCCCGCCUGGGGAGUACGGCCGCAAGGCUAAAACUCAAAGGAAUUGACGGGGCCCCGCACAAGCGGCGGAGCAUGCGGAUUAAUUCGAUGCAACGCGUAGAACCUUACCUGGGUUUGACAUGGAUCGGGAGUGCUCAGAGAUGGGUGUGCCUCUUUUGGGGUCGGUUCACAGGUGGUGCAUGGCUGUCGUCAGCUCGUGUCGUGAGAUGUUGGGUUAAGUCCCGCAACGAGCGCAACCCUUGUUCACUGUUGCCAGCACGUUAUGGUGGGGACUCAGUGGAGACCGCCGGGGUCAACUCGGAGGAAGGUGGGGAUGACGUCAAGUCAUCAUGCCCCUUAUGUCCAGGGCUUCACGCAUGCUACAAUGGCUGGUACAGAGAGUGGCGAGCCUGUGAGGGUGAGCGAAUCUCGGAAAGCCGGUCUCAGUUCGGAUUGGGGUCUGCAACUCGACCUCAUGAAGUCGGAGUCGCUAGUAAUCGCAGAUCAGCAACGCUGCGGUGAAUACGUUCCCGGGGCUUGUACACACCGCCCGUCAAGUCAUGAAAGUUGGUAACACCCGAAGCCGGUGGCCUAACCGUUGUGGGGGAGCCGUCGAAGGUGGGACUGGUGAUUAGGACUAAGUCGUAACAAGGUAACCAA
RNAcentral lists this ribosomal RNA (1517 nucleotides) under uncultured bacterium. RNAcentral describes it as "bacterial SSU rRNA". It matches the Rfam family "Bacterial small subunit ribosomal RNA". The record is from RNAcentral.